AUGAACGCUGGCGGCGUGCCUAAUACCUGCAAGUCGCGCGAACAGACGAGGAGCUUGCUCCUCUGACGUUAGCGGCGGACGGGUGAGUAACACGUGGAUAACCUACCUAUAAGACUGGGAUAACUUCGGGAAACCGGAGCUAAUACCGGAUAAUAUAUUGAACCGCAUGGUUCAAUAGUGAAAGACGGUUUUGCUGUCACUUAUAGAUGGAUCCGCGCCGCAUUAGCUAGUUGGUAAGGUAACGGCUUACCAAGGCAACGAUGCGUAGCCGACCUGAGAGGGUGAUCGGCCACACUGGAUCUGAGACACGGUCCAGACUCCUACGGGAGGCAGCAGUAGGGAAUCUUCCGCAAUGGGCGAAAGCUUGACGGAGCAACGCCGCGUGAGUGAUGAAGGUCUUCGGAUCGUAAAACUCUGUUAUUAGGGAAGAACAAAUGUGUAAGUAACUAUGCACGUCUUGACGGUACCUAAUCAGAAAGCCACGGCUAACUACGUG
RNAcentral lists this ribosomal RNA (496 nucleotides) under uncultured bacterium. RNAcentral describes it as "partial 16S ribosomal RNA". It matches the Rfam family "Bacterial small subunit ribosomal RNA", at positions 29 to 507 of the family's 1533-position model. The record is from RNAcentral.